RNAcentral lists this ribosomal RNA (253 nucleotides) under uncultured bacterium. Its description in RNAcentral is "partial 16S ribosomal RNA". It matches the Rfam family "Bacterial small subunit ribosomal RNA", at positions 524 to 776 of the family's 1533-position model. The record is from RNAcentral.
UACGGAGGGGGCGAGCGUUAUUCGGAAUUAUUGGGCGUAAAGGGCGCGUAGGCGGCUUGAUGUGUCAAAGGUGAAAUCCCUCGGCUCAACUGAGGAACUGCCUUUGAAACUGUCUGGCUUGAGGCCGGGAGAGGGUAGCGGAAUUCCCAGUGUAGCGGUGAAAUGCGUAGAUACUGGGAGGAACACCGGCGGCGAAGGCGGCUACCUGGACCGGUUCUGACGCUGAUGCGCGAAAGCGUGGGUAGCAAACAGG